AGAGUUUGAUCCUGGCUCAGGACGAACGCUGGCGGCGUGCCUAACACAUGCAAGUCGAACGGAGAAUUUCGAGAAGCUUGCUUUACGAAGUUCUUAGUGGCCGAGUGGGUAACCUACCCAUAAAGCCGGGACAACCCUUGGAAACGAGGGCUAAUACCGGAUAAUCUUUAAUCUUGGCAUCAAGGUUUAAGAAAAGGUGGCCUCUGUGUAUGCUACCGAUUAUGGAUGGACCCGCGUCUGAUUAGCUAGUUGGUGGGGUAAAGGCCUACCAAGGCGACGAUCAGUAGCCGGCCUGAGAGGGUGAACGGCCACACUGGGACUGAGACACGGCCCAGACUCCUACGGGAGGCAGCAGUGGGGAAUCUUCCGCAAUGGACGAAAGUCUGACGGAGCAACGCCGCGUGUAUGAUGAAGGUCUUCGGGUUGUAAACUGCUGUAAGUUAUUGAGAAGAUAUGACGGUACCCAAGGAGGAAGCCCCGGCUAACUACGUGCCAGCAGCCGCGGUAAUACGUAGGGGGCAAGCGUUGUCCGGAAUUAUUGGGCGUAAAGGGUGCGUAGGAGGGUUUAUAAGCGUGAGGUGAAAGGCAAUGGCUCAACUAUUGUAAGCAUACUAAACUUAAGAGCCUGAGUGCAGGAGAGGGAAGUGGAAUUCCUAGUGUAGCGGUGAAAUGCGUAGAUAUUAGGAGGAACACCAGUGGCGAAGGCGACUUCCUGGCCUGUAACUGACACUGAGGCGCGAAAGCGUGGGGAUCAAACAGGAUUAGAUACCCUGGUAGUCCACGCCGUAAACGAUGAGUGCUAGGUGUCGGGGGUAUCGACCCCCUCGGUGCCACAGCUAACGCAAUAAGCACUCCGCCUGGGGAGUACGGUCGCAAGACUGAAACUCAAAGGAAUUGACGGGGGCCCGCACAAGCGGUGGAGUAUGUGGUUUAAUUCGACGCAACGCGAAGAACCUUACCAAGGCUUGACAUCCUGUGACAGCUAUAGAAAUAUAGUCUUCUUAGUUUACUAAGACACAGAGACAGGUGGUGCAUGGUUGUCGUCAGCUCGUGUCGUGAGAUGUUGGGUUAAGUCCCGCAACGAGCGCAACCCCUACAGCUAGUUGCCAGCACGUAAUGGUGGGAACUCUAGCAGAACUGCCGUUGACAAAACGGAGGAAGGUGGGGAUGACGUCAAAUCAUCAUGCCCCUUAUGUCCUGGGCUACACACGUACUACAGUGGCCGGUACAGAGGGAAGCGAAGCCGCGAGGUGGAGCAAACCUGAGAAAGCCGGUCCCAGUUCGGAUUGUAGUCUGCAACUCGACUACAUGAAGUCGGAAUCGCUAGUAAUCGCAGGUCAGCAUACUGCGGUGAAUACGUUCCCGGGCCUUGUACACACCGCCCGUCACACCACGAAAGCCUGCAACACCCGAAGCCGGUGAGCUAACUCGUAAGAGAGGCAGCCGUCGAAGGUGGGGCCGGUGAUUGGGGUGAAGUCGUAACAAGGUAGCC
RNAcentral lists this ribosomal RNA (1492 nucleotides) under uncultured bacterium. RNAcentral's name for it is "bacterial SSU rRNA". It matches the Rfam family "Bacterial small subunit ribosomal RNA". The record is from RNAcentral.